RNAcentral lists this ribosomal RNA (376 nucleotides) under uncultured Bacteriovoracaceae bacterium. RNAcentral's name for it is "bacterial SSU rRNA". It matches the Rfam family "Bacterial small subunit ribosomal RNA", at positions 523 to 898 of the family's 1533-position model. Lineage: Bacteria; Pseudomonadati; Bdellovibrionota; Bacteriovoracia; Bacteriovoracales; Bacteriovoracaceae. The record is from RNAcentral.
AUACGAAGGGUGCAAGCGUUGUUCGGAUUUAUUGGGCGUAAAGGGCGCGUAGGCGGAUCUGCAAGUCACAUGUGAAAUCCCAGGGCCUAACCCUGGAACUGCGUGUGAAACUACAGAUCUAGAAUCUCGGAGAGGAAAGGAGAAUUUCGCAUGUAGGGGUAAAAUCCGUAGAGAUGCGAAGGAAUACCGGAAGUGAAAACGCCUUUCUAGACGAGUAUUGACGCUGAGGCGCGAAAGCGUGGGGAGCAAACAGGAUUAGAUACCCUGGUAGUCCACGCCGUAAACGAUGAGUACUAGUGGUCGUGGGAUUGACCCCUGCGGUCACAAAGCUAACGCAUUAAGUACUCCGCCUGGGAAGUACGGUCGCAAGACUAAA